RNAcentral lists this long non-coding RNA (1808 nucleotides) under Marmota monax (woodchuck). The record is from RNAcentral. Lineage: Eukaryota; Metazoa; Chordata; Mammalia; Rodentia; Sciuridae.
CUCUUUGGUGAUCUGUGUCGUGUGGUGCGGCGUCUUCCAGUCUUACACUAAGUCGCCACCAAGUCGGCCACCACCGACCUAACACUUCUUCCUUAUUUUUCUCCUAGCUUAUCAUUCCAUUGUUGGAAACUGGGUAUUUGAACAACGUGGGGCAGAGGCGGUGUUACUGCUGUUGACCUGUGACGAGUCCUUGCUUCCCCAAUGUUGAAGAAUAACACCAGAGAAGCACACCAAGGCAAGGUCAGAGUGGAAAUUAGAAGUUUAUUAAAGGACAGCAGAAAAGACUUCUCCCGGAGGAAGAAGGGGACCCAAGAGGUGGAAUCCGUGGAAGUGUGGUUGUUUUCCCUUUUUAUAGUUCUGGUGAUGGAAUGUAGGGGGGAAGGAUUGGGACACAGGUGGGCCAAACAAGUAAUCCAGGCAGGAAGGACUUCAUUAACACUUCUUUGGGAUGGGCUAUCUCCAAAUCUGUUGGGGGCUGUUUCCUGGGCUCCAUUAACAUUCCUUUGGGAUGAACUUUGGGCCUAGGGGCUUUUCUUCAUUAACAUUCCAUGAGUUGUCCUGCGCUUCCGGAAUCAUUGUCAGCAUGGCCUCCAUUUUAGAUUUCAUUCGAUAUUAGACCGGAUUUACCUAACUACACUGACUACCUAAUUUUAAAUCUGGCUUCAGCUGGUGCUGGGUGGCCCACCCCCCAGUCCUCUCCCAGCUUAGUGCUUUUCCACUUGUGGGGUGACUGGCCCGGCUGUCCAGUGCUGCCGAGGCAGCCUCCUCAUGCCAUAUGCAGGCUCUUUUCUCUCAGCAAAGCCUGGACAUAAAUGGCUUCAUAGUGGAACCCAAGGUCGGGCUGGAGGUGUUUUGGGGGGCCUCUUCACGACUCUUUGGCCCCAUUUUUUCCAGCAACCUAGGGGCUGACGGUGCAGUCCCCAUCUCCAGUGACUCUGUGGACCCAGUGUAGAGGCAGAAGGACCUCACUCGGGGUCUUGAGAAUCCUAAUCCCAGACACAGAUGUAGAUACUUUUAGAUCAGUGUUGGAAGGAGGCCGUGAGGCGGGGCUUAGAGCAAACUGUUGCUCUUUACCAGGUAGUAAAUAUUCCUUCGGGGGAAAUUCUGCUGGAGCUGAGAACAGGUGCAGGGGCCUCGGGACUGCAGAAACUGAAGGAAAGAGUGUAACACGUAGUGAAAACGUCCAUGGAGGCCGAGAGUGCAUGAUCUGGACGGGUCUGGAGGCCUGGGCACUGCAUGCUUGGCUACCUGCUCCCCAGUCCAGGUAGCGGCAGGCCCUUUCCCCUGAGCCUCCGCAUCCCCUGAGGAGGCUCCCUGUGCUGCUUUCACUCUAGUUUUCCUUCUGUUCCCCGGGAUCUGCCUUCCACAGGACUCCCGCUAUGUUGGAGAGCAAGCUGGGCCUCGCGCCUGGGUCUGGAGUCCUCUGCUAGCAGGCUUCUCUCAAUCUGGCUGGGAGCUGGCAUCCCCCUCUGGAGAUGAGCACUCAGUGCCCGGGGAAGUGGCAGCCUCCGUCUCCUCUCUUGGCCCUCCUGAGGAACUCAUGACCUCCUGGGCUGGCCCCUGCAUUCCCAGUCCCACUGUGGGGGCGGAGGGGCUGCCCUCGCCUGGAGCUGCCUCAUCAGCAGGUGGCUGGGCAAGACCAGCAAGGCCACCCCUGCGGGAGGACGUGAGGACACGUACACAGGGAGAGUCUGUGCUCCUGGCUGGGCCACCCGAGGGGAGCUUCCACCCUUGCCUGGGGGGCAGGGAGGAGCUGGCCUUGGUGCAAAUACCACAGACUCUUUGCAGUUCUCCGUGAGUUUCAGUCA